UGCGCAGGCGGAUUUGUAAGUCAGUGGUGAAAUCCCCCGGCUCAACCGGGGAACUGCCAUUGAUACUGCUAAUCUAGAGUACAGUUGAAGUAGGCGGAAUGUAGCAUGUAGUGGUGAAAUGCAUAGAGAUGCUACAGAACACCGAUUGCGAAGGCAGCUUACUAAGCUGUAACUGACGCUCAGGCACGAAAGCGUGGGGAGCAAACAGGAUUAGAUACCCUGGUAGUCC
RNAcentral lists this ribosomal RNA (229 nucleotides) under uncultured bacterium. RNAcentral's name for it is "partial 16S ribosomal RNA". It matches the Rfam family "Bacterial small subunit ribosomal RNA", at positions 568 to 796 of the family's 1533-position model. The record is from RNAcentral.